This 388-nucleotide long non-coding RNA is filed under the name Nicotiana benthamiana. Its description in RNAcentral is "long non-coding RNA (NBEN_LNC024055)". Lineage: Eukaryota; Viridiplantae; Streptophyta; Magnoliopsida; Solanales; Solanaceae. The record is from RNAcentral.
UGGAUCAUCCACAAUCGAUUGUCAAAGCCAAACAAUAGAUUGUUUGGUUUUAUGAAAAAUUUUUAAGUUACUGGACCAUCCACAAUCGAUUGUCAAAGCCAAACAAUCGAUUGUUUGGUUUUAUGAAAUUUUUCUGGACCAUUCACAACCGAUUGUCAAAUCCAGACAAUCGAUUGUUUGGUUUUAUGAAAGUUACUGGACCAUCCACAAUCGAUUGUCGAAGCCAUACAAUCGAUUGUUUGGUUUUAUGAAAAAUUUGUUACUGGAGAGGUUUCAACUCACUGGACCUUGAACAAUCGAUUGUCAGAACCUGACAAUCGAUUGUCAGAAUCUGACAAUCGAUUGUCAGAACCUGACAAUCGAUUGUCAGAAGCUGACAAUCGAUUGU